GAUGAACGCUGGCGGCGUGCCUAAUACAUGCAAGUCGAGCGAACAGACGAGGAGCUUGCUCCUCUGACGUUAGCGGCGGACGGGUGAGUAACACGUGGAUAACCUACCUAUAAGACUGGGAUAACUUCGGGAAACCGGAGCUAAUACCGGAUCAUAUAUUGAACCGCAUGGUUCAAUAGUGAAAGACGGUUUUGCUGUCACUUAUAGAUGGAUCCGCGCCGCAUUAGCUAGUUGGUAGGGUAACGGCUUACCAAGGCAACGAUGCGUAGCCGACCUGAGAGGGUGAUCGGCCACACUGGAACUGAGACACGGUCCAGACUCCUACGGGAGGCAGCAGUAGGGAAUCUUCCACAAUGGGCGAAAGCCUGACGGAGCAACGCCGCGUGAGUGAUGAAGGUCUUCGGAUCGUAAAGCUCUGUUAUUAGGGAAGAACAAAUGUGUAAGUAACUAUGCACGUCUUGACGGUACCUAAUCAGAAAGCCACGGCUAACUACGUG
RNAcentral lists this ribosomal RNA (497 nucleotides) under uncultured bacterium. RNAcentral describes it as "partial 16S ribosomal RNA". It matches the Rfam family "Bacterial small subunit ribosomal RNA", at positions 28 to 507 of the family's 1533-position model. The record is from RNAcentral.